Molecule: small nuclear RNA, 107 nt
Organism: Spermophilus dauricus (Daurian ground squirrel)
Lineage: Eukaryota; Metazoa; Chordata; Mammalia; Rodentia; Sciuridae
Source: Ensembl
AUGCUCACUUCAGCAGCACAUAUACUAAAACUGAAACAAUACAAAGAAGAUUAGUACGGCCCCUGCGCAAAGAUGAUGCACAAUUUCAUGAAAUGUUCCAUAUUUUU